CUGAAACAGGGAGGUAGUGACAAUAAAUAACAAUGCCGGGCCUUUAUAGGUCUGGCAAUUGGAAUGAGAACAAUUUAAACCCCUUAUCGAGGAUCAAUUGGAGGGCAAGUCUGGUGCCAGCAGCCGCGGUAAUUCCAGCUCCAAUAGCGUAUAUUAAAGUUGUUGCAGUUAAAAAGCUCGUAGUUGGAUUUGUGGUGGUUCCUGAGGUCCAAAUUUUGGUACUAUCGGGCGCCGCCAUCCUUGGGUGGAACCUGUGUGGCAUUAGGUUGUCGUGCAGGGGAUGCCCAUCUUUUACUGUGAAAAAAUUGAGUGUUCAAAGCAGGCUUACGCCGUUGAAUAUAUUAGCAUGGAAUAAUAAGAUAGGACUUCGGAACUAUUUUGUUGGUUUGCGUUACGAAGUAAUGAUUAAUAGGGACAGUUGGGGGUAUUCGUAUUUCGUUGUCAGAGGUGAAAUUCUUGGAUUUCCGAAAGCGAACUACUGCGAAAGCAUUUACC
RNAcentral lists this ribosomal RNA (495 nucleotides) under uncultured diatom. RNAcentral's name for it is "SSU rRNA". It matches the Rfam family "Eukaryotic small subunit ribosomal RNA", at positions 451 to 959 of the family's 1831-position model. The record is from RNAcentral. Lineage: Eukaryota; Bacillariophyta.